Molecule: long non-coding RNA, 554 nt
Filed under: Pan troglodytes (chimpanzee)
Lineage: Eukaryota; Metazoa; Chordata; Mammalia; Primates; Hominidae
Description: long non-coding RNA NONPTRT011949
Source: RNAcentral
AAACAGCUCUUGUGAUCUGGUACAAACCAGCUCUCGCACAUCACUGCUUAUAUCCUCCUUAUAUGGAUCCUAAAAUAAGCAGGAGACCCAGAAAAUUUGGAAAGAAUGGAGGUUUGCUGACCUAGUAAGGACACUGCCAAGAAAAUAAUUUCCACUGAACAUUCUCAUUUUCCUCCUCCGAACAGCAUAGUCAUGGCCAAAGUCAUUUUAGCUUUGCCUUUUAUCAGCUUAAGAAAUUGUAGAUCAGCUUUAGGCUUAUGUGUUCAACACUCAGGAACAUGCCAUGUUUCUUCAGUGGCAAAGGCAAAACCAAGGUAAUUACAUCUACCAGGGGUCCCCACCUAAUAGACCUAUGUAUAUUUGAGUGAUGAUUCUUUUUGAUUUCUGUUUCUCUAUACUGGAAUAAAGAAUCUCUGAAAUUUGUAAUCUAUAAAAUUCUUGAACUAAAAUCUUUUUUUUUUUUUUUUUUUUUUUUACCAAACAGACGAGUUGUUUCUGAUCCUGAGGGCAUAUGUGCUUCCAAAAUGGCUUCCCAUCUCUUGUUAAGCCAUCGU